CGGCGGACGGGUGAGUAACGCGUGAGCAACCUGCCUUUCAGAGGGGGAUAACAACGGGAAACCGUUGCUAAUACCGCAUAAUACCGGAUGAUGGCAUCAUUGACCGGUCAAAGGAGCAAUCCGCUGAAAGAUGGGCUCGCGUCCCAUUAGGUAGUUGGUGGGGUAAAGGCCUACCAAGCCGACGAUGGGUAGCCGGACUGAGAGGUUGAUCGGCCACAUUGGAACUGAGACACGGUCCAAACUCCUACGGGAGGCACAUG
This 260-nucleotide ribosomal RNA is filed under the name uncultured bacterium. RNAcentral describes it as "partial 16S ribosomal RNA". It matches the Rfam family "Bacterial small subunit ribosomal RNA", at positions 96 to 350 of the family's 1533-position model. The record is from RNAcentral.